Molecule: transfer RNA, 85 nt
Filed under: Burkholderiales bacterium
Lineage: Bacteria; Pseudomonadati; Pseudomonadota; Betaproteobacteria; Burkholderiales
Also listed under: 2 other names
Description: tRNA-Leu
Rfam family: tRNA
About the family: Transfer RNA (tRNA) molecules are approximately 80 nucleotides in length. Their secondary structure includes four short double-helical elements and three loops (D, anti-codon, and T loops). Further hydrogen bonds mediate the characteristic L-shaped molecular structure. tRNAs have two regions of fundamental functional importance: the anti-codon, which is responsible for specific mRNA codon recognition, and the 3' end, to which the tRNAs corresponding amino acid is attached (by aminoacyl-tRNA synthetases). tRNAs cope with the degeneracy of the genetic code in two manners: having more than one tRNA (with a specific anti-codon) for a particular amino acid; and 'wobble' base-pairing, i.e. permitting non-standard base-pairing at the 3rd anti-codon position.
Source: RNAcentral
GCCUCGGUGGUGGAAUUGGUAGACGCGCCGGACUCAAAAUCCGGUGCCGCAAGGCGUGUCGGUUCGAGUCCGACCCGAGGCACCA